Molecule: small nuclear RNA, 125 nt
Filed under: Erinaceus europaeus (western European hedgehog)
Lineage: Eukaryota; Metazoa; Chordata; Mammalia; Eulipotyphla; Erinaceidae
Description: U11 spliceosomal RNA
Rfam family: U11 spliceosomal RNA
Source: Rfam by way of RNAcentral
AAAAAGGGCUUCUGUCAUGAGUGACACACGUAGGGCAGCUCAUUUGCUCUAUGUGCGAAAUUGACAUCAAGAGAUUUCAAAAACAUGAUUUUUGUUUUUUGGACACCUGGUGAUUGUUGGUCCUG